This 468-nucleotide ribosomal RNA is filed under the name uncultured bacterium. RNAcentral's name for it is "partial 16S ribosomal RNA". It matches the Rfam family "Bacterial small subunit ribosomal RNA", at positions 28 to 507 of the family's 1533-position model. The record is from RNAcentral.
GACGAACGCUGGCGGCGUGCUUAACACAUGCAAGUCGAACGGAAAGGCCCUGCUUUUGUGGGGUGCUCGAGUGGCGAACGGGUGAGUAACACGUGAGUAACCUGCCCUUGACUUUGGGAUAACUUCAGGAAACUGGGGCUCAUACCGGAUAGAAUCUCCUGCUCCAUGGUGGUGGUAGGUAAGUUUCGGCGUUUGGGGAUGUACUCGCUGCUUAUGAGCUUGUUGGUUGGGUAGUGGCUUACCAAGGCUUUGACGGGUAGCCGGCAUGAGAGGGGGACCGGCCACAUGGGGACUGAGAGACGGCCCAGACUCCUACGGGAGGCAGCAGUGGGGAAUAUUGCACAAUGGGCGGAAGCCUGAUGCAGCAACGCCGCGUGCGGGAUGACGGCCUUCGGGGUGUAAACCGCUUUCGCCUGUGCCGAAGCGUGAGUGACGGUAAUGGGUAAAGAAGCACCGGCUAACUACGUG